This 379-nucleotide unclassified non-coding RNA is filed under the name uncultured Ignavibacteria bacterium. RNAcentral describes it as "contains 16S-23S intergenic spacer region". Lineage: Bacteria; Pseudomonadati; Ignavibacteriota; Ignavibacteria. The record is from RNAcentral.
UCACUACUUGCGUAGGCAGUCUCUUUAGAGUGCCCGGCAUUAUCCGGUAGCAACUAAAGACAAGGGUUGCGCUCGUUGCGGGACUUAACCCAACACCUCACGGCACGAGCUGACGACAGCCAUGCAGCACCUGUACAGAUUCGCCUUGCGGCACGGGAACUUUCAUCCCCCUUAAUCUGCGUUUCAAGCCCAGGUAAGGUUCUUCGCGUUGCAUCGAAUUGAACCACAUGCUCCACUGCUUGUGCGGGCCCCCGUCAAUUCCAUUGAGUUUCAGCCUUGCGGCCGUACUCCCCAGGCGGGGUACUUAAUGCGUUAGCUGCGGCGCUGAACGUGUCGAAACGCCCAGCACCUAGUACCCAUCGUUUACAGCUAGGACUAC